UUUUUUCUUUAUUUUUUUUCCCAAGGAGAGGAGCCACUGGUGAGCAGACCUUUAAUUUAAUGUCUGUACAUCUGGCACUGCUCAUCUCUGCAUUCAUUUCUAUGUGUUUUGCUUCUCAAUCACAUUUCAGGCUGGAUUGGCCACCCGGGUUAGCCAGGCAGCAGGGAGGGCAGGGACAGCCAUGGCCCCAGAGUCCUGCCUGGGGACGCAUGAAAUUGUCAGCCUCCGCAGCCCCCGGGGAUCUGUCCUCUCUGCAUUCAGAGCAGUUUCCCCUCCUAAUGAGGUGGUGGCGGCCAGUAAUCAACUCACCACUAGCGCCUUCUCUGAACUAAGUAGGAUUAACGCCACACCAGCCUAGAACAUUGGUUGCCAAAAAGGGAAUAAUUUCGAGGUCAUAAAAAGAACUCUGAGGCUGAUUUUCUGAUUAUGAGAACUUCGUGUCAUGUUCCUCCUCUGCUACUGAGAUCCUCAGUUUGGAGAAGGGGAGGGGGAGGGGGAGGGGGAGGGGGAGGAAGGCAGGCUUCCGGUCUGUCUCAUCCACAGUGCUCCCACAUUGGGGCAGUGACAAGUGGCUGCUGCCAGGGGUGAGAAGUUGCCUCAUCUGGUUUAGUUCCUUGAAUGUCUAGUACACAGUAGGCAACAAAUACAUGCUGAAUGAUGUGAAGGUGGCCUAAGAGCUCCAAGAGGACUUCAUGGGGAUGCUGAACCCAUCCAUCCAUCCACACCCAUUCAUCCAUCCUCCCUCCAUCUGCUCAUCUGUGCACUCAAGAAAUACUCAUUGGGUGCCUUGUACAGAGGUUUUUCACCUGGAAUGCUAACCUCAACUUCAUUUUCACUAACCUUUCACUAAUAAAAGUUAACAUUUCUUCUCAUUGUAAAUGGAGGCAACGCGCCCCAGUAGCGUCAGCAGAACCUCUGACUUUGUAUGACGCUAACAGCGUUGCAGGUACUGGAAACAUGGUUUGCAGUCAUCCCUGCUUUGAAAUGAGGGCAAAUAAAGAUUUCACAUUUAUCGUUUUUCUAUAUCACAAAUUAAUACUUUAAAACUUGGGUAACUAUUUUAAUAGAACCGGUUUUCAUUUAAAUCCCAUGUAUUUUCUCUUAUGCUUUUAAAAACAGAUUUUCUGAAGAGGGGUCCUUAGGCCUCACCAGCCACCAGAGGGUUCUCUGACACUGGGAAGGUCCUAGGUCCACACCCUUGUAGGAGCCAGGCUCUGAGCUAUGUGCCAGGAGCCAUUAUACAGUAAAGUUAUGUUUCUUUCUGCCUGUUUGCUCACCUGGCAAAAAAAAAAAAAAAAAGUGUGUGUGGGGUGCUACUAGAUCUUCCCCAAAUUAGGAUGGUAUGCGGGCCAUGGCUUCAUCUAAAAUCUAGGUUAAUCAGCUUAAAUGAAAUUCGUGCUGGAGUCAAGGGGGAGCAUGUCAAAGACAGGGCGGUUUCCUUUAGACUGCAGCCUCCCCACAGCCCGGACGGCUUGCUGGAAAUGCAGAACCCCGGGCUCCCUCCAGACCUGACGGAUCCCUUUCGGCCUUCUCACAAGAAGCCCAGGCCACGUGUCUUCGCCGUCUGGUUUGGGAGUGGGUGGGAGUGGCGCCCCAGUGGCUGUGCGGCUAGGUCGGUGUGAGGCUCGCACUGAGAUUUCAAGGGACCGGCAUCUGGGCUGGUGUGCGCAGCCCCAGCGGCACCCUGGAGGAAAGCUGCCCUCUCCCUAAUUCAUCCAUCCACAUUUAUUGGUCCUGAUCGUGUGCCUGACCCGUCGUGCUAGGUGCCCGCUGUGACCCCACCCUUGUGAAGGACCUAGCGCCAGAGGGAGAGGCAAUAAACAAGUCAGCAACGGAGCUUCAGAACGGGCUGAGAGCUGGCAAGGUCACUCGCGGGAAACAGGGAACAGUAGAAUGGGAACUGGAGCGAUAUUUCAGCCGAGAACCAAGGGAGGGGGACUCCCGCCCAAGCCUCUGUGCCCAGCAGGGGCAGAAACGAGAUCCUGCAGUGCCCACGAGGACAGGGGCUGGGGAGGACCAGCGUGGGAAGGCCGACCCGAGGCCCGCCAGCCUUGUAAAGGCUGAAAAAAGAUGUCUCCAGCAGCGUGAACAGGGUGCGCAAAUGUCCUGAGGCACGUGGACCAGAGUGGGGAGGGGCAGUGAUGACAGCCGGACAGCCAGAGCCCUGGGCCGGCCCAGAUCUUGCAAAGCUGCGGGGCUGGGCUCCGAGCUCGCCCCCCGAGACCCCCGCUCCCCACUCACCAGUGCGCUCUGCAGCUGGUAGCCGGUGGGCCGGUAGUGCCGCCUCUCGGCCGGGUCGGUGUGGAUGUCCCCAGGUACAGCUCCUCCACCAACCGGGGCGCCGCCCGGGCUGCGGCUGCAGUCGGCGCUGCACGCGGACC
This 2381-nucleotide long non-coding RNA is filed under the name Macaca fascicularis (crab-eating macaque). Its description in RNAcentral is "lncRNA (ENSMFAG00000063932.1)". Lineage: Eukaryota; Metazoa; Chordata; Mammalia; Primates; Cercopithecidae. The record is from RNAcentral.